GAUGAACGCUGACAGAAUGCUUAACACAUGCAAGUCAACUUGAACUUCGGUUUGGGUGGCGGACGGGUGAGUAACGCGUAAAGAACUUGCCUCACAGCUAGGGACAACAUUUGGAAACGAAUGCUAAUACCUGAUAUUAUGAUUAUAUGGCAUCGUAUAAUUAUGAAAGCUAUAUGCGCUGUGAGAGAGCUUUGCGUCCCAUUAGCUAGUUGGAGAGGCAACAGCACACCAAGGCGAUGAUGGGUAGCCGGCCUGAGAGGGUGAUCGGCCACAAGGGGACUGAGACACGGCCCUUACUCCUACGGGAGGCAGCAGUGGGGAAUAUUGGACAAUGGACCGAGAGUCUGAUCCAGCAAUUCUGUGUGCACGAUGAAGUUUUUCGGAAUGUAAAGUGCUUUCAGUUGGGAAGAAAAAAAUGACGGUACCAACAGAAGAAGUGACGGCUAAAUACGUG
Molecule: ribosomal RNA, 454 nt
Filed under: uncultured bacterium
Lineage: Bacteria
Description: partial 16S ribosomal RNA
Rfam family: Bacterial small subunit ribosomal RNA
Source: RNAcentral